GAUGAACGCUGGCGGCGUGCCUAAUACAUGCAAGUCGAGCGAACAGAUAAGGAGCUUGCUCCUUUGACGUUAGCGGCGGACGGGUGAGUAACACGUGGGUAACCUACCUAUAAGACUGGGAUAACUUCGGGAAACCGGAGCUAACACCGGAUAAUAUUUCGAACCGCAUGGUUCGAUAGUGAAAGAUGGUUUUGCUAUCACUUAUAGAUGGACCCGCGCCGUAUUAGCUAGUUGGUAAGGUAACGGCUUACCAAGGCGACGAUACGUAGCCGACCUGAGAGGGUGAUCGGCCAAACUGGAACUGAGACACGGUCCAAGCUCCUACGGGAGGCAGCAGUAGGGAAUCUUCCGCAAUGGGCGAAAGCCUGACGGAGCAACGCCGCGUGAGUGAUGAAGGUCUUCGGAGCGUAAAACUCUGUUAUUAGGGAAGAACAUACGUGUAAGUAACUGUGCACGUCUUGACGGUACCUAAUCAGAAAGCCACGGCUAACUACGUG
Molecule: ribosomal RNA, 497 nt
Filed under: uncultured bacterium
Lineage: Bacteria
Description: partial 16S ribosomal RNA
Rfam family: Bacterial small subunit ribosomal RNA
Source: RNAcentral